This 428-nucleotide ribosomal RNA is filed under the name bacterium. Its description in RNAcentral is "partial 16S ribosomal RNA". It matches the Rfam family "Bacterial small subunit ribosomal RNA", at positions 355 to 775 of the family's 1533-position model. The record is from RNAcentral.
UAGGGAAUCUUCGGCAAUGGGGGCAACCCUGACCGAGCAACGCCGCGUGAGUGAAGAAGGUUUUCGGAUCGUAAAGCUCUGUUGUAAGAGAAGAACGUGUGUGAGAGUGGAAAGUUCACACAGUGACGGUAACUUACCAGAAAGGGACGGCUAACUACGUGCCAGCAGCCGCGGUAAUACGUAGGUCCCGAGCGUUGUCCGGAUUUAUUGGGCGUAAAGCGAGCGCAGGCGGUUUAAUAAGUCUGAAGUUAAAGGCAGUGGCUUAACCAUUGUUCGCUUUGGAAACUGUUAAACUUGAGUGCAGAAGGGGAGAGUGGAAUUCCAUGUGUAGCGGUGAAAUGCGUAGAUAUAUGGAGGAACACCGGUGGCGGAAGCGGCUCUCUGGUCUGUAACUGACGCUGAGGCUCGAAAGCGUGGGGAGCAAACAG